AAGACAUACAACGUCCGUUACAGGUUAAAAUGUGACGUUGUAUAUCUAAACAACGUCGUCAUCAACAUAAUAAUCGACGGUGUAAAUUCUACCCACGUCGGUUAUUCAGAAAAAGUGGACGUUGUAACUUACUAACCACGGCUAUGAGUACAUUGUGACGGCUAAUGUUUUCUAGGAUGACGUCAUGUGUUAUUUAACGUCAUUGUAAACGGAUGCAACGUCGGUUAUGUACAUUUUUCAUUUAAUUUUUGUAUGACUUUUACAUUUUAUUCCUAAUAUUAAUAAUAAUUUCAAAACAAAUUCCAUAAAAUAAACUGAC
This 319-nucleotide long non-coding RNA is filed under the name Prunus persica (peach). RNAcentral describes it as "long non-coding RNA (PPER_LNC005819)". The record is from RNAcentral. Lineage: Eukaryota; Viridiplantae; Streptophyta; Magnoliopsida; Rosales; Rosaceae.